Molecule: long non-coding RNA, 1285 nt
Filed under: Rattus norvegicus (Norway rat)
Lineage: Eukaryota; Metazoa; Chordata; Mammalia; Rodentia; Muridae
Description: long non-coding RNA NONRATT021635
Source: RNAcentral
GUUGGGUAGUGGUGACUUAAGUGGUAGUGUGCUUGCCUAGCAUGCACUAGGUCCUGGGUUCCAUCCCCAGUACCAAAAUCAAAAAGAAAUCCCCAAAUUCCCUCAUGUCAUAAUGACCAUAGUUCCCAACAAGAAAGAGUACAUAAUCCAGUUCCAGGGAAGUAGAUCUGACUUAAAGCUCUUUGCAUUCCCGUGAGCAUGAGACUGGAAAAAAAGUGGGAGGUUGGGAAAGAUACUUGGUAUUUGCAUUUAGAUUAGCAAAAAUUAAAAAUACCUCCUGUAAGGUUAAGUUUGUACCUGUUUAUGGACAAAUAGAGCCAUGGGGCUCAAGGCUAGAUAGGCUGUUUCCUUUUGAGGAGUUAAUGACACUUUAUUCACUGAAAGUGGGAUUUCAGUGCAGAAGUAGCUCUAGCUUCUAAAUUCCCAGCUAGAUUUGGAAGCCAGUGUUGGAGAAUAGCAGGGAUGGCCAGUAUGAAAUGAUGGAAAGGACAUAAUUUUGCCAGCUUAAAUUUUUUUUUAGGUAUAUAUUCAAGAUUGAGAUCUGGACACCUGUGUAGUUAAAGUGAGUCUACUUUAAUCUCUGUAGAGGUUUCCUGUAGUACAUCCAUACAUCUUAUAGCUGCUAGCUUUGCUUCCCUUAGGAUUUUUUAGUGUGAGCACCAGUCAUUUCUAGGCCAUUCAGGGCCUGUACGUCCUGGCUCCCAUUAGAUAUUUAGACCACGUUUGGAUAAGAAGUACCAACCUCUAAGAUGGCAUUGAAGGGGCCAAAAAAAUUUUUUUUUAAGAUGUAGAAAAGAGUUGGUAAAUCUAAUCUGGUCCUUUGUAAGUUCCAUCAUUAGUAAUGGCCAAUUGACAGGGCCACUUUGGGCCAAACUCCUCCACUGGAUGUACAGAUCUUUGUGGCCUUACCUUUAACAAUUGUAUCCAUACAGUGUUCUCAUCAACUGAAAUCAUUUCAAACUUUGAGUGAUGCUCCAUCCCAUCGCUUGUCAGUGAACCUAUGAAGGUCAGCCCAUUUCUUAGAAAUAGCCCAGCUCUGUCUGGGCUUCAGCUUUCAGGGCGUUCUACCCUGGAUUUAUGAAUCUGUGAUACUCCACAUCUGGUAAAGCAGGGCUGACCUGUCUAGACACUCCUCUCAGGGAGGUGGACAGACAAACGCUAACCUGGCUACUUUAUGGGGUAGGCUGGGGUGGGGAGAUACACACCAACCUGGCUAACUGGGCUCUUUUCCAUAAAUAUCUCAAAGGUUGAUAGUUCCAUGUUAAAAUUUGGGAUAGAAUAGGAC